ACAGAGGGAGGCGGACGCGCGAGCGCGAGCGGACCCCAAAAACGGCCCCCCAGUUCGGACUGCAGCCUGCAACCCGGCUGCACGAAGCCGGAAUCGCUAGUAAUCGCGGAUCAGAACGCCGCGGUGAAUACGUUCCCGGGUCUUGUACACACCGCCCGUCACACCAUGGGAGCCUGGAAUGCCCGAAGCCGGUGGCCGAACCGAGAGGGCGGAGCCGCCUAAGGCAGGCCCGGUGACUGGGGUGAAGUCGUAACAAGGUAUC
RNAcentral lists this ribosomal RNA (262 nucleotides) under uncultured bacterium. RNAcentral describes it as "partial 16S ribosomal RNA". It matches the Rfam family "Bacterial small subunit ribosomal RNA", at positions 1239 to 1500 of the family's 1533-position model. The record is from RNAcentral.